This 513-nucleotide ribosomal RNA is filed under the name uncultured bacterium. Its description in RNAcentral is "partial 16S ribosomal RNA". It matches the Rfam family "Bacterial small subunit ribosomal RNA", at positions 28 to 523 of the family's 1533-position model. The record is from RNAcentral.
GAUGAACGCUGGCGGCGUGCCUAAUACAUGCAAGUCGAGCGAACAGAUGAAGUGCUUGCACUUCUGACGUUAGCGGCGAACGGGUGAGUAACACGUAAGGAAUCUACCUAUAAGCGGGGGAUAACAUUCGGAAACGUGGGCUAAUACCCCAUAAUAUCUCCUUCCGCAGGGAAGAAGAUUGAAAGACGGCUCUGCAGUCACUUAUCGAUGACCUUGCGGUGCAUUAGUUAGUUGGUGGGGUAACGGCCUACCAAGACGAUGAUGCCUAGCUGACCUGAGAGGGUGAUCAGCCACAGUGGGACUGAGACACGGCCCAAACUCCUACGGGAGGCAGCAGUAGGGAAUCUUCCGCAAUGGGCGAAAGCCUGACGGAGCAAUGCCGCGUGAGUGAAGAAGGCCUUCGGGUCGUAAAACUCUGUUAUAAGAGAAGAACAAAUUGUAGAGUAACUGCUACAGUCUUGACGGUAUCUUAUCAGAAAGCCACGGCUAACUACGUGCCAGCCGCCGCGGUAA